Molecule: transfer RNA, 73 nt
Organism: Ovis aries (sheep)
Lineage: Eukaryota; Metazoa; Chordata; Mammalia; Artiodactyla; Bovidae
Rfam family: tRNA
About the family: Transfer RNA (tRNA) molecules are approximately 80 nucleotides in length. Their secondary structure includes four short double-helical elements and three loops (D, anti-codon, and T loops). Further hydrogen bonds mediate the characteristic L-shaped molecular structure. tRNAs have two regions of fundamental functional importance: the anti-codon, which is responsible for specific mRNA codon recognition, and the 3' end, to which the tRNAs corresponding amino acid is attached (by aminoacyl-tRNA synthetases). tRNAs cope with the degeneracy of the genetic code in two manners: having more than one tRNA (with a specific anti-codon) for a particular amino acid; and 'wobble' base-pairing, i.e. permitting non-standard base-pairing at the 3rd anti-codon position.
Source: Rfam
UCCCUGGUGAUCCAGUUGCCAAGAGUCCAGCACUCUCAAUGCAGGGGCCCAGGUUCAAUCCCUGGUUGGGGAA